Long non-coding RNA from Mus musculus (house mouse), 1183 nucleotides. RefSeq annotates it as predicted gene, 53573. The transcript has 3 exons. The record is from RefSeq and is a predicted model, not a curated record. Lineage: Eukaryota; Metazoa; Chordata; Mammalia; Rodentia; Muridae.
GACACGCUUUAGGGGAAUGCACUGCACUGAAGGGGACAACAGUGGUAAGCAGACAGGAAUGGGUGCCAGUUCCGCUUAUGAGGAGCCCUGGUAGAGAGCAGGGCUGGGUGGUGCCACCAAGGCCAAGCGUGGGUGACAGCUGGGAAGCAGGGACCCUUUCCCCCAAGCCCUGGCCACUAAGCUGCUUCUCCAUUAGCAUUCAGCAACCACGGAUCCGAUUCCUGAGGUCAGUCCCAAGGUUCUGAGUGGAUUUCAUCUUGGUCAGCAUGUGGACACAGAGGAAUGACAGCGAGAUGGUGAGCCUCACACUGGCAUGGGCACAUCUGCACAGGCUGUCCCUUGGCUCCCUGCCAUGCCAGGUCACAGAAGCCUCAGCCUUCUUCUCCGGAGAGCAGGCCUGUGGUAAGGCAAUUUCAUCCUGCUUGGGAUAGCUGCAGAUGCUUUCUGUCUCUCCCCAUUUCCCAGGCCUUGCUACUGGUUGGUUGCAUGGGUCAAUAGGCAACCAGACACAGAUUCUAGUCCUGGAUCUGCCUCUGAGACUAGGCAGCUCCUGUGACCACCCUGACCCCAACUUCCUCAGAGCCUCUUGUGUUGGCUGAUGUUGGCUGGUGUUGCCACGAGGGUUACGUGAAUCAACCUCACAGAGCACUGGGCAAAUGCUCAGGAGCCAGUGUCCUUGCUGGAGGGCUACAUGGGAAAGUGAGCAGUAGAGACAGCUGCUCCACCGUGGAACACAUAAUACUCCUCUUUUAAAUUUUCUAAAAGCUAAUCGACUGUUUAUUGCCACAAAAAUUAAAAUGCUGAAAUAUAAGUAGAAAUGAAUGCAAUUAUUGUGGGAAUGAGGAAUGUAAAUAGCCUAAGCAAAUAAGAGGAGGAAGCACUCAUCGCUAAGCCAUCUACCGGGCAGGCAAAGACACAGACGGGAGAAGACACAAAGCGUUACCAAGAUAGACUUCAUAAACUCUCAUCAUGAGACAGCUGGAGCAGGUGUCAGAGCAGGAAGGCUUCAGGGCAGGGAGUCACCCAGAGUGCGGAGAGACAUUUCACAGUGAUAGAAGGGGUUAGUUCAGGAGAGCAUGCAAACAGACAUACACACACGAAGCGAGACCUGGGAGAAGCCAAGUGUUGUGGCUGACAGCUGUAAUCCCAGCUCUUGGGAUGCAGAGGCUGGAGGUUUUCUGUG